UAGGGAAUCUUCGGCAAUGGGGGCAACCCUGACCGAGCAACGCCGCGUGAGUGAAGAAGGUUUUCGGAUCGUAAAGCUCUGUUGUAAGUCAAGAACGAGUGUGAGAGUGGAAAGUUCACACUGUGACGGUAACUUACCAGAAAGGGACGGCUAACUACGUGCCAGCAGCCGCGGUAAUACGUAGGUCCCGAGCGUUAUCCGGAUUUAUUGGGCGUAAAGCGAGCGCAGGCGGUUAGAUAAGUCUGAAGUUAAAGGCUGUGGCUUAACCAUAGUACGCUUUGGAAACUGUUUAACUUGAGUGCAGAAGGGGAGAGUGGAAUUCCAUGUGUAGCGGUGAAAUGCGUAGAUAUAUGGAGGAACACCGGUGGCGAAAGCGGCUCUCUGGUCUGUAACUGACGCUGAGGCUCGAAAGCGUGGGGAGCAAACAGGAUUAGAUACCCUGGUAGUCCACGCCGUAAACGAUGAGUGCUAGGUGUUGGGUCCUUUCCGGGACUCAGUGCCGCAGCUAACGCAUUAAGCACUCCGCCUGGGGAGUACGACCGCAAGGUUG
RNAcentral lists this ribosomal RNA (550 nucleotides) under uncultured bacterium. Its description in RNAcentral is "bacterial SSU rRNA". It matches the Rfam family "Bacterial small subunit ribosomal RNA", at positions 355 to 896 of the family's 1533-position model. The record is from RNAcentral.